UGGGGAAUAUUGCACAAUGGGCGAAAGCCUGAUGCAGCGACGCCGCGCGAGGGACGAAGGUCUUCGGAUUGUAAACCUCUUUCAGCAGGGACGAAGCGAAAGUGACUGUACCUGCAGAAGAAGCACCGGCUAACUACGUGCCAGCAGCCGCGGUAAUACGUAGGGUGCAAGCGUUGUCCGGAUUUAUUGGGCGUAAAGAGCUCGUAGGCGGUUCGUCACGUCGGAUGUGAAAACCUGGGGCUUAACCCCGGGCCUGCAUACGAUACGGGCGAACUAGAGUUCGGUAGGGGAGACUGGAAUUCCUGGUGUAGCGGUGAAAUGCGCAGAUAUCAGGAGGAACACCGGUGGCGAAGGCGGGUCUCUGGGCCGAUACUGACGCUGAGGAGCGAAAGCGUGGGGAGCAAACA
RNAcentral lists this ribosomal RNA (407 nucleotides) under uncultured bacterium. Its description in RNAcentral is "bacterial SSU rRNA". It matches the Rfam family "Bacterial small subunit ribosomal RNA", at positions 355 to 774 of the family's 1533-position model. The record is from RNAcentral.